Molecule: long non-coding RNA, 265 nt
Organism: Coregonus clupeaformis (lake whitefish)
Lineage: Eukaryota; Metazoa; Chordata; Actinopteri; Salmoniformes; Salmonidae
Exons: 3
Source: RefSeq, a predicted model, not a curated record
ACGAGGCAGAGAAGAGUCUCUCCAGAUCAGAACACCAGAUGGACAACGCUAGCCCUUCCGCCCUCCCAGAGUCCCCGUGUCGUACCUCUCCCAGUAGCACCUUACUGCUGGGUCUGAAGAGGUUGUCUGUGCGGCUGGUGGACUGCAGGAAAACAACCGGGCUGAGUGGAACUGUGAGAGGAGGAGAAGAGAAGAAAGGAGCAGAUUUGACUCAUCAAAGAUAAUGCACGGCCCCAUGUCGCAAGGAUCUGUACUCAAUUCCUGG